Molecule: small RNA, 1631 nt
Filed under: Pan troglodytes (chimpanzee)
Lineage: Eukaryota; Metazoa; Chordata; Mammalia; Primates; Hominidae
Description: retained intron
Source: RNAcentral
AAGUAUCAAGGCCUCAAGUCUGGCACAUUUUUCUGGCCAGGAUCAGAUGUGGAAAUUAAUGGAAUUUUCCCAGACAUCUAUAAAAUGUAUAAUGGUUCAGUACCAUUUGAAGAAAGGAUUUUAGCUGUUCUUCAGUGGCUACAGCUUCCUAAAGAUGAAAGAAGAACCAGAUUCUUCAGGUCAUUCAUAUGGACCAGUCAGCAGUGAAGUCAUCAAAGCCUUGCAGAGGGUUGACGGUAUGGUUGGUAUGCUGAUGGAUGGUCUGAAAGAGCUGAACUUGCACAGAUGCCUGAACCUCAUCCUUAUUUCAGAUCAUGGCAUGGAACAAGGCAGUUGUAAGAAAUACAUAUAUCUGAAUAAAUAUUUGGGGGAUGUUAAAAAUAUUAAAGUUAUCUAUGGACCUGCAGCUCGAUUGAGACCCUCUGAUGUCCCAGAUAAAUACUAUUCAUUUAACUAUGAAGGCAUUGCCCGAAAUCUUUCUUGCCAGGAACCAAACCAGCACUUCAAACCUUACCUGAAACAUUUCUUACCUAAGCGUUUGCACUUUGCUAAGAGUGAUAGAAUUGAGCCCUUGACAUUCUAUUUGGACCCUCAGUGGCAACUUGCAUUGAAUCCCUCAGAAAGGAAAUAUUGUGGAAGUGGAUUUCAUGGCUCUGACAAUGUAUUUUCAAAUAUGCAAGCCCUCUUUGUUGGCUAUGGACCUGGAUUCAAGCAUGGCAUUGAGGCUGACACCUUUGAAAACAUUGAAGUCUAUAACUUAAUGUGUGAUUUACUGAAUUUGACACCAGCUCCUAAUAACGGAACUCAUGGAAGUCUUAACCACCUUCUAAAGAAUCCUGUUUAUAUGCCAAAGCAUCCCAAAGAAGUGCACCCCCUGGUACAGUGCCCCUUCACAAGAAACCCCAGAGAUAACCUUGGCUGCUCAUGUAACCCUUUGGUAAGUAUCGUCAAGAAGUUUGGUCCAGUAUGUAUGGUUUGAUAGCACCCUCUGCAUAGCAUGUGCUGUAAAAAUACUUAAUAAUCAAAUUAGAAUUUAGGAGUGGGGGUAGGUAAACAUAUGUUUUAAUUCUAGGGGGCACAUGUAGAUCUUUUGUGAUAUAUCUUUUCUCUUUCUGGUUUUUGCAUUUUCCACUCUAUUUUUAAUUCCUUGGAGCUGUGACUUGACUUGGGUGCAGGUGUGGUGAAGUCUAGUUAGUUGACUUGGGUACAGGUGUGGAGAAGUCUAGUUCAGUUCUUGAGCAUCCUGAAUUAGGGAAUCUGUGCUGUUAACUCUAGCAGUGAGGUGAUGAGCACAUAGUAAACCAAUCACAAUGUACCUUUUUAAAAAUACAGUUCAGAUUGUUUAAAUGUAGGGAGAAAAAAGAUUUCUUGGUAUGAAAUGAAUACAUUACACUGUCCUUUUUUACUUCCAUGUUAAUAUGACAUUAUUAUAAAAAGAUAAAAAUACUAGACAAGUUAUGAACAAAAUUGAUAACAUCCAUGAGGGCACCUGUAAUCCCAGCUACUCGGGAGGCUGAGGCAGGAGAAUUGUUUGAACCUGGGAGGCGGAGGUUGCAGUGAGCCAAGAUCACACCAUCGCAUUCCAGCCUGGGCAACAGGGCGAGACCCUUUCUCAAAAAAAAAAAAAAAAA